Molecule: ribosomal RNA, 252 nt
Filed under: Escherichia coli
Lineage: Bacteria; Pseudomonadati; Pseudomonadota; Gammaproteobacteria; Enterobacterales; Enterobacteriaceae
Description: partial 16S ribosomal RNA
Rfam family: Bacterial small subunit ribosomal RNA
Source: RNAcentral
AAAUUGAAGAGUUUGAUCAUGGCUCAGAUUGAACGCUGGCGGCAGGCCUAACACAUGCAAGUCGAACGGUAACAGGAAGCAGCUUGCUGCUUCGCUGACGAGUGGCGGACGGGUGAGUAAUGUCUGGGAAACUGCCUGAUGGAGGGGGAUAACUACUGGAAACGGUAGCUAAUACCGCAUAACGUCGCAAGACCAAAGAGGGGGACCUUCGGGCCUCUUGCCAUCGGAUGUGCCCAGAUGGGAUUAGCUAGU